UAACCUGCCCAAGAGAUCGGGAUAACACCUGGAAACAGAUGCUAAUACCGGAUAACAACAGAUGAUGCCUAUCAACUGUUUAAAAGAUGGUUCUGCUAUCACUCUUGGAUGGACCUGCGGUGCAUUAGCUAGUUGGUAGGGUAACGGCCUACCAAGGCGAUGAUGCAUAGCCGAGUUGAGAGACUGAUCGGCCACAUUGGGACUGUGACACGGCCCAAACUCCUACGGGAGGCAGCAGGG
Molecule: ribosomal RNA, 240 nt
Filed under: uncultured Lactobacillus sp.
Lineage: Bacteria; Bacillati; Bacillota; Bacilli; Lactobacillales; Lactobacillaceae
Description: partial 16S ribosomal RNA
Rfam family: Bacterial small subunit ribosomal RNA
Source: RNAcentral